AAAGGGCACGGGGCAGAGGGACUAUGUUGUGAGCCUGCGAAAGAAGUUUGUGUGGGGACUGUGGGCAGUGAACGCGUUGGGAACAAUAUGGAAAACUGGGAGCCGCCUUGGAAUCUACAGGGCCGGGUAAGAGAAUGUCCGAAAGAAAAAUGAGCAGGUGCGGGAUGUGGCAGAGUCGGAGAAGAGUCCAGGGCGCCCGGAGUGGCUCCAGGAAGGACGGAAACCCCUGAGGGCUUUUGGGGGCGACUUCAAUCCAACAGGACCCACUCGAGCCAUCCACACUUGCCCCAGCCUCCUCCAAAACAGCACACUUUCCGGCUGAAGAAAAGAAGAAUGGUAUUCACGCAGUUCCCAUUUUACAGAUGAAAACAAGAGGACUUUUUCUGUGAAGUCAAGAAAGUGGUUACAAUGGUACUUUCAGCCUGUCCGAAUUAUGUAUUGCCCCUCCCCUUUUUAUUAAUAACAUUGAAGUGUGAUGGGACAACCACUGAAGCCGUCAGUUGAAACCUGCUGGGACUUUUUAGCCAUUCUCUUCAACAUAAAGAAUGGGUGUUUUUGGAGGGGGUGAGAGGAAUGGGGAAAUGUUGUCAAAGAGUACAACGUUUUAGUUGAG
RNAcentral lists this long non-coding RNA (613 nucleotides) under Homo sapiens (human). Its description in RNAcentral is "HSALNT0350771". Lineage: Eukaryota; Metazoa; Chordata; Mammalia; Primates; Hominidae. The record is from RNAcentral.